GAUGAGCAUGCGUCCCAUUAGCUAGUUGGUAAGGUAACGGCUUACCAAGGCUACGAUGGGUAGGGGUCCUGAGAGGGAGAUCCCCCACACUGGUACUGAGACACGGACCAGACUCCUACGGGAGGCAGCAGUGAGGAAUAUUGGACAAUGGGCGCAAGCCUGAUCCAGCCAUGCCGCGUGCAGGAUGACGGUCCUAUGGAUUGUAAACUGCUUUUAUACGAGAAGAAACAUCCCGACGUGUCGGGACUUGACGGUAUCGUAAGAAUAAGGAUCGGCUAACUCCGUGCCAGCAGCCGCGGUAAUACGGAGGAUCCAAGCGUUAUCCGGAAUCAUUGGGUUUAAAGGGUCCGUAGGCGGUUUAAUAAGUCAGUGGUGAAAGCCCAUCGCUCAACGGUGGAACGGCCAUUGAUACUGUUAAACUUGAAUUAUUAGGAAGUAACUAGAAUAUGUAGUGUAGCGGUGAAAUGCUUAGAGAUUGCAUGGAAUACCAAUUGCGAAGGCAGGUUACUACUAAUGGAUUGACGCUGAUGGACGAAAGCGUGGGUAGCGAACAGGAU
This 557-nucleotide ribosomal RNA is filed under the name uncultured Bacteroidota bacterium. RNAcentral's name for it is "bacterial SSU rRNA". It matches the Rfam family "Bacterial small subunit ribosomal RNA", at positions 224 to 778 of the family's 1533-position model. Lineage: Bacteria; Pseudomonadati; Bacteroidota. The record is from RNAcentral.